Molecule: long non-coding RNA, 475 nt
Organism: Ananas comosus (pineapple)
Lineage: Eukaryota; Viridiplantae; Streptophyta; Magnoliopsida; Poales; Bromeliaceae
Exons: 2
Source: RefSeq, a predicted model, not a curated record
ACGUUUAGGCUUCGGGUCCGCCGGGAGGGCCGAUGCGACGUCGUAAAAUCAUGGAAAUGGAUUUGAGGCAUCGUGGCACAUAACCGAAGACCUAUAAUUUCCGGAUUUGUAAAGCGGAACACGGUUGAGGCGCAAGAUCUUGUCGGGCCCAAAGGGUGCCGAGUGCCGCGGGAGGCCGAUUGCAAGUGACGACAAGCAAUCGGAACGCGAGUUAAGGUCGUUCAUGUGCGGCGCGGCGGCGCGAGGCGAGGGCGUAGCUCAGUAGAUAGCGCCCCACCACAGAGACCGAGGUAGAAGUACCCUGAGGCAGUCUAGCUUAGGGGACUAGAAGACAAGGAAAAACAAAAUGUAUUAAACUUGUAAACCCUAAUGUGAUGAGAUUGUAAUCUGGAAGUAAAAAAUGUAAAUAGGAACUGUGAUGUAAAAGUGAAUGAAUGCUUGUAAAAGCUAGUAGUUUAUGUAUUUGAUACUUCCU